GUAGCAUAAUUUAUCCUGUUUAAUAAAGUAAAGUUUGUCUUUUAUGUCACAUUCAGGUAAUGUAAGAAAUUUCAGAAGGAUGGGAAGAUCCUCCCCCAUCCCCAAUCAAAAAUGGCAGCUGUAGUGUUUGCCAAACAUGAGAAACCCCAGCUGAAGCCUGAGCCUCAUGUACAGAGGAAAAGAACGAAACACAAUGAAAUGACAUGUCAGGUUGGUCUCAUAGCUGCGUUCAUAUAUUUUUAAUAUAGUUUCUUUUUUUCUGUUGGCAUAAACGGAGGAAUUUCAUGAACAGUACUGUAAAUAUUCAUCCUUGACUCGCCGAGUUUUCCUGCUUAAAAAUCAGCUAAUUAUAAACCGUACUCUUUUUCCAACGCUAACCCUGUGGGGUUUUUUUUUCUACGCUGAGUUUUCCUUACCUUCAUUUGUCGCCUCACGUCGCUAACUGUCGCUAGUGUCUUUGAGAUUAGCGUCGGUUGCUACGGUUUUCCUCACAGCACCUACCAUGUUCACUGGCCUGUUUCAUCUGCGUUUGUUUUUUUCGACACUCAAAAAUCGUUAUACAUUCAAAGCAGCUAAAAUUCUCAGG
Molecule: long non-coding RNA, 586 nt
Organism: Ictalurus punctatus (channel catfish)
Lineage: Eukaryota; Metazoa; Chordata; Actinopteri; Siluriformes; Ictaluridae
Exons: 2
Source: RefSeq, a predicted model, not a curated record